This 445-nucleotide ribosomal RNA is filed under the name uncultured bacterium. RNAcentral's name for it is "bacterial SSU rRNA". It matches the Rfam family "Bacterial small subunit ribosomal RNA", at positions 354 to 796 of the family's 1533-position model. The record is from RNAcentral.
GUAAGGAAUAUUGGGCAAUGGAGGCAACUCUGACCCAGCCAUCCCGCGUGAAGGAUUAAGGCCCUAUGGGUUGUAAACUUCUUUUGUUUGGGAAGAAAUCAGGACAUUUAUGUGCUGUUGACGGUACCUUACGAAUAAGCACCGGCUAACUCCGUGCCAGCAGCCGCGGUAAUACGGAGGGUGCAAGCGUUAUCCGGAAUCACUGGGUUUAAAGGGUGCGUAGGCGGUUUGAUAAGUCAGAGGUGAAAGCUAGCAGCUUAACUGUUAAAUUGCCUUUGAUACUGUCAGACUUGAAUCAAGUUGAGGUAGGCGGAAUGUGACAUGUAGCGGUGAAAUGCAUAGAUAUGUCAUAGAACACCAAUUGCGUAGGCAGCUUGCUGGGCUUGAAUUGACGCUGAGGCACGAAAGCGUGGGGAUCAAACAGGAUUAGAUACCCCAGUAGUCC